Molecule: long non-coding RNA, 941 nt
Organism: Gadus macrocephalus (Pacific cod)
Lineage: Eukaryota; Metazoa; Chordata; Actinopteri; Gadiformes; Gadidae
Exons: 3
Source: RefSeq, a predicted model, not a curated record
GCUGGGGGGAGACGCAGUGUCACAUUACUCUGAAGAGGUGAUAGGAGCGGUCGGGGGGAUGAGGGCGACUACGCCCCCUGUCCCCCAGAAAGCAUCCUGAGCAAGAUACCCCUAACCCUUGAGCAAGAUGCCCUACCCCAGCUCAGGUCUGGGACAACAGGCAGUUCACGGUCUUUUGCUUCAUACUUGUUUCCACCAAUCAUGUUCCUGGACUAGGGGAUCACUAGGGGGUCUAUAAACACAAACUCAGCAAGCUGUAGUAAACUUUCAAAAAGUGUCUGUUAAAGGUUUCAAAUCAACAGUAGACCACUGUAGAAACUUUUUUUUUUUUUUUUCAAUCACCUUCUGAAAUCUUCAUCCAGUCAUGCAUAAAGGUGUGAGUUAUGCUAUGAGUCCUUAACAACAACAAACAGGAAACGGGCUUAAGUCCACCCCUUGACGUUUUUUGUUUCUAACCAGGGCUCUUUGACGUCUCCGCCAAGAAGUUCUGCUGUAACCCACUAGGUCUGCUGGACCAGAGGUUCUGCUAUAACACAGUAGGACUGCUGGAUCAGAGGAUCUGCUAUAACACAGUAGGACUGCUGGACCAGAGGUUCUGCUAUAACACAGUAGGACUGCUGGAUCAGAGGAUCUGCUAUAACACAGUAGGACUGCUGGACCAGAGGUUCUGCUAUAACACAGUAGGACUGCUGGAUCAGAGGUUCUGCUAUAACACAGUAGGACUGCUGGAUCAGAGGUUCUGCUAUAACACAGUAGGACUGCUGGAUCAGAGGUUCUGCUAUAACACAGUAGGACUGCUGGACCAGAGGUUCUGCUAUAACACAGUAGGACUGCUGGACCAGAGGUUCUGCUAUAACACAGUAGGACUGCUGGACCAGAGGUUCAAAAGCAGGAGCCAAACGUCACAUAUCAACACUUUCACACACAUCUCCUGGUUUCAU